UACGUAGGGCGCAAGCGUUAUCCGGAAUUAUUGGGCGUAAAGCGCUCGUAGGCGGUUUGUCGCGUCUGCCGUGAAAGCCCGGGGCUCAACUCCGGAUCUGCGGUGGGUACGGGCAGACUAGAGUGAUGUAGGGGAGACUGGAAUUCCUGGCGUAGCGGUGAAAUGCGUAGAUAUCUGGAGGAACACCGGUGGCGAAGGCGGCAUCCUGGACCGAUACUGACGCUGAGGAGCGAAAGCCAGGGGAGCAAACGGG
This 253-nucleotide ribosomal RNA is filed under the name uncultured bacterium. Its description in RNAcentral is "partial 16S ribosomal RNA". It matches the Rfam family "Bacterial small subunit ribosomal RNA", at positions 524 to 776 of the family's 1533-position model. The record is from RNAcentral.